CCUACGGGAGGCAGCAGUGGGGAAUAUUGGUCAAUGGGCGCAAGCCUGACCCAGCAACGCCGCGUGAAGGAAGAAGGCUUUCGGGUUGUAAACUUCUUUUUUCAGGGACGAAGCAAGUGACAGUACCUGACGAAUAAGCCACGGCUAACUACGUGCCAGCAGCCGCGGUAAUACGUAGGGCGCAAGCGUUAUCCGGAUUUACUGGGUGUAAAGGGCGGGUAGGCGGGGAAGCAAGUCAGAUGUGAAAACAACGGGCUCAACCUGUGGCCUGCAUUUGAAACUGGUUUUCUUGAGUGCUGGAGAGGCAAUCGGAAUUCCGGGUGUAGCGGUGAAAUGCGUAGAUAUAAGGAGGAACACCAGUGGCGAAGGCGGCUUGCUGGACAGCAACUGACGCUGAGGCGCGAAAGCGUGGGGAGCAAACAGGAUUAGAUACCCCUGUAGUC
Molecule: ribosomal RNA, 443 nt
Filed under: uncultured bacterium
Lineage: Bacteria
Description: partial 16S ribosomal RNA
Rfam family: Bacterial small subunit ribosomal RNA
Source: RNAcentral